UCGCUCCCCUGGCUUUCGCGCCUCAGCGUCAGUAGUCAGCCCAGCAACCCGCCUUCGCCGCAGGUGUUCCUCUCGAUAUCUACGCAUUUCACCGCUACACCGAGAAUUCCAGUUGCCCCUUCUGCACUCUAGUCGCACAGUAUCAGUUGACCUUUCCGAGUUAAGCCCGGAGAUUUCACAACUGACUUGUGCUGACCGCCUACGCGCCCUUUACGCCCAGUAAAUCCG
Molecule: ribosomal RNA, 228 nt
Filed under: uncultured soil bacterium
Lineage: Bacteria
Description: partial 16S ribosomal RNA
Source: RNAcentral